This 508-nucleotide ribosomal RNA is filed under the name uncultured bacterium. Its description in RNAcentral is "partial 16S ribosomal RNA". It matches the Rfam family "Bacterial small subunit ribosomal RNA", at positions 30 to 523 of the family's 1533-position model. The record is from RNAcentral.
AUUGAACGCUGGAGGCAUGCCUAACACAUGCAAGUCGAACGGCAGCAUGGUACAGUUUACUGUACUGAUGGCGAGUGGCGAACGGGUGAGUAAUACGUGGAGAUAUACCUUGAAGAGGGGGAUAACUUAGGGAAACUUAAGCUAAUACCGCAUGAGCUCUAAGGAGGAAAGCUGGGGACCUGAGAGGGCCUGGCGCUUUAAGAUUAAUCCACGUCUGAUUAGCUAGUUGGUGGGGUAAGGGCCUACCAAGGCGACGAUCAGUAGCUGGUCUGAGAGGAUGGACAGCCACACUGGGACUGAGACACGGCCCAGACUCCUACGGGAGGCAGCAGUGGGGAAUAUUGGACAAUGGGGGCAACCCUGAUCCAGCAAUGCCGCGUGUGUGAAGAAGGCCUGAGGGUUGUAAAGCACUAUCGUUGGGGAGGAGGGUUUAUUGGUUAAGAGCUGAUGAACUGGACGUUACCUGAAGAAGAAGCACCGGCUAACUCCGUGCCAGCCGCCGCCGUAA